This 381-nucleotide unclassified non-coding RNA is filed under the name Hevea brasiliensis (rubber tree). Lineage: Eukaryota; Viridiplantae; Streptophyta; Magnoliopsida; Malpighiales; Euphorbiaceae. The record is from RNAcentral.
AUUUCAAGUCUGCAAUAUCAUUCAUCAAUCAUCUAUUUCUGCAUUCUAAUUUUGAUUCUGAAAAUUUAACUUCAGUUUCAUAUGCAUGCGCCCAGUAGAAACUCUAUUUUCUUAGUUCAUCUUGUAGAUAUAUUCAAAGGUGGUAGUUGUCUAGUGGGAGUAAUGGGUUUCAAUUUACACGCUUAUUUUUUGGUUUUCUAUUCAUCUAUUUGUUUGGUUUUAUCAAAUUCCGCUGAUUCUUGAUCCUGUCUAUCAUAAAUAUGGGUUGCAGAAUUUUGUAAUUCCUAUGCAUGCACCCAGUAGAGAUUCUAUUUUUGAAUUCAUCAUCUUGUAUAUAGUAGUGGGCCUGGCCUAUUGGGAUCAUGGUUCAAUUCAGCCACA